This 65-nucleotide transfer RNA is filed under the name Ogcogaster segmentator. RNAcentral describes it as "tRNA-Ala". The record is from RNAcentral. Lineage: Eukaryota; Metazoa; Arthropoda; Insecta; Neuroptera; Myrmeleontidae.
AGGGUAAUAGUUAAUAAUAACAUUUGAAUUGCACUCAAAAAGUAUUGGUCUUCCAAUUUACCUUA